GGAACGAGAAGCCGACACCAGGCCAAUCUCUCCUAGAAGCCGGAAGCUGAAUUCUCAGCCGAAAGUAGCACCGGACUGUGAGUGCGAAACUUGCAGUCCUGAAGAAUUAAGGCCUCCCUCAAGGUGGGGUCUCGGGAUAGCUACGACUACAUAUCCCAGAAAUCCCUGCGCGCUGGUUCUCCUUCCGGCUAGUUUCUCCUGAUUUCCUGGCAGCCCAAGACUACCCAGACCGGGACGGAAACUCAGAGGCAACUCUUCGCUUGUCAGAGCUCCUGCGUGAGACAGAUUUCCGCACAUGCGCGGUCGGUGUCCGCACCGCCCACUCGACUCCAGGGUAGCGGUGCGGCUGGUCCACUGGAGUCUGCGGUGGAGUGAUGUUGGCGACAGGCUGGAGCCCUUGGUCCCAGAGGAGGCACACACCUGCCCAGGAACUAGAGAAGCCGAAGGAGGCUCUAGGAGAACAUGGGAACUUGAGUGCAGAUCCAGCCAUUCUUCACACCAAAGAGGCAAGUGAGCAGACAGGCAGACACCUGUGGCACAUCAUGGAGCCGAGAGCCGAGCCCACCAGCCUGGACAGGGUUACCUUUUUGCGUGGCCGGAGCUUGUCCCGCCAGUCCUUCAGGUUCUGGUUGUGGCU
Vicugna pacos (alpaca) is the source of this 637-nucleotide long non-coding RNA. RefSeq lists it as uncharacterized. Lineage: Eukaryota; Metazoa; Chordata; Mammalia; Artiodactyla; Camelidae. The record is from RefSeq and is a predicted model, not a curated record.